Long non-coding RNA from Melanotaenia boesemani (Boeseman's rainbowfish), 103 nucleotides. RefSeq lists it as uncharacterized. Lineage: Eukaryota; Metazoa; Chordata; Actinopteri; Atheriniformes; Melanotaeniidae. The record is from RefSeq and is a predicted model, not a curated record. The transcript is spliced from 3 exons.
GCUCUGAGCUCGUCGAGUGGAUAUGGAAUCCAGAUCAAGAAGAAACAACAUCCGGAUUUUUGGAGUUGCAGAGGGUGAAGAAGGAAGUUCUGUGAUGCGCUUC